GGGGGUUAUAGUUUAAUCUCCUAGAAUAUU
RNAcentral lists this transfer RNA (30 nucleotides) under Collyriclum faba. RNAcentral's name for it is "partial tRNA-Thr". The record is from RNAcentral. Lineage: Eukaryota; Metazoa; Platyhelminthes; Trematoda; Plagiorchiida; Collyriclidae.